GGCGACGUAGCUCAGUUGGCAGAGCAGACGAAUCAUAAUCGUCGGGUCGUUGGUUCAAGUCCAACCGUCGCCA
RNAcentral lists this transfer RNA (73 nucleotides) under Chloroflexota bacterium. Its description in RNAcentral is "tRNA-Met". It matches the Rfam family "tRNA". Rfam says of the family: Transfer RNA (tRNA) molecules are approximately 80 nucleotides in length. Their secondary structure includes four short double-helical elements and three loops (D, anti-codon, and T loops). RNAcentral also lists the same sequence under 1 other name. Lineage: Bacteria; Bacillati; Chloroflexota. The record is from RNAcentral.